GACGAACGCUGGCGGCGUGCUUAACACAUGCAAGUCGAACGGAAAGGCCCUGCUUUUGUGGGGUGCUCGAGUGGCGAACGGGUGAGUAACACGUGAGUAACCUGCCCUUGACUUUGGGAUAACUUCAGGUAACUGGGGCUAAUACCGGAUAGGAGCUCCUGCUGCAUGGUGGGGGUUGGAUAGUUUCGGCGGUUGGGGCUGGACUGGCGGCUUAUCAGCUUGUUGGUGGGGUAGGGGUUUACCAAGGCUUUGACGGGUAGCCGGCCUGAGAGGGUGACCGGCCACAUUGGGACUGAGAUACGGACCAGACUCCUACGGGAGGCAGCAGUGGGGAAUAUUGCACAAUGGGCGGAAGCCUGAUGCAGCAACGCCGCGUGCGGGAUGACGGCCUUCGGGUUGUAAACCGCUUUAGCCUGUGACGAAGCGUGUGUGACGGUAAUGGGUAAAGAAGCACCGGCUAACUACGUG
RNAcentral lists this ribosomal RNA (468 nucleotides) under uncultured bacterium. RNAcentral describes it as "partial 16S ribosomal RNA". It matches the Rfam family "Bacterial small subunit ribosomal RNA", at positions 28 to 507 of the family's 1533-position model. The record is from RNAcentral.